This 18-nucleotide non-coding RNA is filed under the name Arabidopsis thaliana (thale cress). Lineage: Eukaryota; Viridiplantae; Streptophyta; Magnoliopsida; Brassicales; Brassicaceae. RNAcentral also lists the same sequence under 1 other name. The record is from RNAcentral.
GGAGUAACUAUGACUCUC